Molecule: ribosomal RNA, 460 nt
Filed under: uncultured bacterium
Lineage: Bacteria
Description: partial 16S ribosomal RNA
Rfam family: Bacterial small subunit ribosomal RNA
Source: RNAcentral
CCUACGGGAGGCAGCAGUGAGGAAUAUUGGUCAAUGGACGCAAGCCUGAACCAGCCAAGCCGCGUGCAGGAAGACGGCUCUAUGAGUUGUAAACUGCUUUUGUACGAGGGUAAAGGCAGAUACGUGUACCUGUCUGUAUGUAUCGUAUGAAUAAGGAUCGGCUAACUCCGUGCCAGCAGCCGCGGUAAUACGGAGGAUUCAAGCGUUAUCCGGAUUUAUUGGGUUUAAAGGGUGCGUAGGCGGUCGGUUAAGUUAGAGGUGAAAGCCCGAGGCUCAACUUUGGAAUUGCCUCUGAUACUGGUCGGCUAGAGAGUAGUUGCGGUAGGCGGAAUGUGUGGUGUAGCGGUGAAAUGCUUAGAGAUCACGCAGAACACCGAUUGCGAAGGCAGCUUACCAAGCUACUUCUGACAUUGAGGCACGAAAGCGUGGGGAGCAAACAGGAUUAGAUACCCCAGUAGUC